GAUGAACGCUGGCGGCGUGCCUAAUACAUGCAAGUCGAGCGAACAGACGAGGAGCUUGCUCCUCUGACGUUAGCGGCGGACGGGUGAGUAACACGUGGAUAACCCACCUAUAAGACUGGGAUAACUUCGGGAAACCGGAGCUAAUACCGGAUAAUAUAUUGAACCGCAUGGUUCAAUAGUGAAAGACGGUUUUGCUGUGACUUAUAGAUGGAUCCGCGCCGCAUUAGCUAGUUGGUAAGGUAACAGCUUACCAAGGCAACGACGCGUAGCCGACCUGAGAGGGUGAUCGGCCACACUGGAACUGAGACACGGUCCAGACUCCUACGGGAGGCAGCAGUAGGGAAUCUUCCGCAAUGGGCGAAAGCCUGACGGAGCAACGCCGCGUGAGUGAUGAAGGUCUUCGGAUCGUAAAACUCUGUUAUUAGGGAAGAACAAAUGUGUAAGUAACUAUGCACGUCUUGACGGUACCUAAUCAGAAAGCCACGGCUAACUACGUG
RNAcentral lists this ribosomal RNA (497 nucleotides) under uncultured bacterium. RNAcentral describes it as "partial 16S ribosomal RNA". It matches the Rfam family "Bacterial small subunit ribosomal RNA", at positions 28 to 507 of the family's 1533-position model. The record is from RNAcentral.